UUUACCAUUUUCAUUCAAGCAGCUGCAAACAAUUAGGUUAGAAAAGAAAUCAGCCAGGAGAUGCAGAUGCUAAUUACUUCGAGUUCCUACAAUAACGAGAGUGGAUCUGUGGUGUUUUGAAGUCGAGUUUCAAGCCAAUUGAUUUGAUUUUUCUCAACAAAAACGAAUAUAUUUGGGGGUUUUGAAAGCAAUUGAAUUGAAAUGGAAUCUGAUAUUGGUAUUACAUACGCCAAUUCUUAUCUUCAAUUUGCUAGAAUUUUUCUGCUCAUCAGUUUGGUAACAAUGGAAGUCCAGUCCGAAGGUUAAGUGAUGGUGUCUGAGAGGUUUAUGCUGUUAAGGGUGUCUUUAAACAGGUCAGGGCAAAGUGGCGUCCAGAAGCUGCACAAAGGAGUUUAACGAUACACUUAAAUAUAUAGACAACAUACGUUCAAAAGCAGAGCCAUAUAGAAUUUGCAGAAUAGUUCCCCCCUCUUCAUGGAGACCUCACUGCCCUCUUAAAGAAAAUAGUGUAUGGGAAAAAUCUUAAUUUUUCACUCGAAACUUGCAUAUUAAGGCUGACUUUCUUGAUGUGAUACAUGUUAGGCUUAUAAUAAGAGCACCUUGGAUGCCAUACAUUUACAACUCUUCAAGGUUAACAUAGAAGUCAGUAUUAUGGAGGAAGUAGCAGAUCUCAUCAAGGUUCAGUGGUUCUUCAUCUCCUUCUACAAGUGGUUGUUUCAGAGGAAUUAAUUGCAGAACUUUUCAUCAAUCCAGUGGUGGUGGUGAUUCAACAGAUAUUGAUGUGCAGAUCACUUCGACUCGCACGUAGUGGAAGAAAGUUGAAAGAAGAAGUGAAGUCAGGUACAAAAUUUGAGCUAUGUCCCUCAUGUUCAAUAUUUACCAGUAUGCUACUCCAUGAGUCGGUAGACUCAACUGACUAGGAAGAUACAACUACAUCCGGUUUGCACCUAGAGGCCAUGGAAACGUCCAUAUGGUGUUGGUCUGCUUGUUGGAGGGUUGGAUGAAUCAGGAGCACACCUCUACUAGAAUUUCCCUAGUGGGAACUACUUCGAAUACCAGGCCUUUGCUAUUGGGGCUCGCUCACAAUCUGCUAAAACUUAUUUGGAACGAAAACUUGAGUCCUUUGCCAACUCUACCCGUGAUGAUGUGAUCAAAGAUGUACUCUUUGCAAUCAAGGAAACUUUACAAGGAGAGAAGCUAACAAGAUCAAUAUGCACUGUUGUUGUUGUUGGUCUUGAAAAGGAUUUCUACAUUUUGGAUCAGGAAACUAUACAAGAGUUUAUCGAGUUGUUAGAGAUAAGGGAAGAGGCGCCCGUGCAAGAAGAAGCUGAAGUGCCUCCUCCAGCUCCAAUGGACAUUGGAGAUCUGUAAGAGAAGCAGUUGCAUUGCUUUGAAGUGGUGCAUUGCGUUUCUUCGAUUAUACAUAAAUGUUUAUAGGUAGAAACUGAACUUGGCUGACAGUGUUAGUAAUGGAGAUCUUUGUUCAAUGCACACUUAGUGUCUCUUUCUUUG
Molecule: long non-coding RNA, 1512 nt
Organism: Papaver somniferum (opium poppy)
Lineage: Eukaryota; Viridiplantae; Streptophyta; Magnoliopsida; Ranunculales; Papaveraceae
Exons: 4
Source: RefSeq, a predicted model, not a curated record